This 695-nucleotide long non-coding RNA is filed under the name Anas platyrhynchos platyrhynchos (common mallard). RNAcentral's name for it is "lncRNA (ENSAPLG00000022204.1)". Lineage: Eukaryota; Metazoa; Chordata; Aves; Anseriformes; Anatidae. The record is from RNAcentral.
UUUGUCUCAGCAGACUAACAACUUUGGAUCAAUGUCAGCUGUCACUUGAUUAAUUAUGUACAUAAGGCAGCUGAUCACAGAAAAUUUCCACCUUUUCCCCUUAGUAUUUGUAUUUGUUCUUCACACUUAGUCAUAGUCAUUCAACAGCUGCAUAUGAUGCAACAGCAGAACAAGCAUUAGCAGGAUGCUAUAGGCUGGGUAAAAUAAAUAGAAUAUGUUUAGUGCAAUAUGUAGAAAAAAGAUAGUGAAGACAUCAAUAUUUUUGAAGUUAAAAAAUUUAUCACUUUGUUAACUUGGGAGAGAUGAUAUCUUGUCCUUAAAAGAUACAAGUUGCCAGUACAUACGGACUGGGGAGUCUUUCCAGAUGAACUGAUAAUGCCUCCACAAGGAAGUCUGCAUCAAGGACUUCUGUCAACACCCCUCUCAUGGUGAAUGCUAUCCUGUCCAAGAGUUUUCUGGUUCAGCUGUACCCUACUCCAAGGAUCCCAAUGCAUUGCUGCAGUUGUUCAUUAUCCCUUGUGUGGCCACCCUGGAGAUGUAUAAAAACAAAUGUUGAGAUUUGUUAUAUAGAGGUGUUUAUAAAACCUUACUUUAAGAAAGUCCAUUUGAUAAUGUCUAUGCUCACAUGACUACAUGUAGUGUUGCUUUUAACUAAUUAAUUUGCUUGCUGCAUGAUGCCAAAUCUCUUCCAAGGA